UAAUACGGAGGGUCCAAGCGUUAUCCGGAUUUAUUAGGUUUAAAGGGUCCGUAGGCGGAAAAUUAAGUCAGUGGUGAAAGCCCAUAGCUCAACUAUGGAACUGCCAUUGAUACUGAUUUUCUUGAAUAUGAUUGAAGUGGGCGGAAUAUGUCAUGUAGCGGUGAAAUGCUUAGAUAUGACAUAGAACACCGAUAGCGAAGGCAGCUCACUAAGUCAUCAUUGACGCUGAGGGACGAAAGCGUGGGGAGCGAACAGGAUUAGAUACCCUGGUAGUCCACGCCGUAAACGAUGAUUACUAGCUAUUAGCGAUAUACUGUUAGUGGCAAAGCGAAAGUGUUAAGUAAUCCACCUGGGGAGUACGAUCGCAAGGUUG
RNAcentral lists this ribosomal RNA (373 nucleotides) under uncultured Flavobacteriia bacterium. Its description in RNAcentral is "bacterial SSU rRNA". It matches the Rfam family "Bacterial small subunit ribosomal RNA", at positions 521 to 896 of the family's 1533-position model. The record is from RNAcentral. Lineage: Bacteria; Pseudomonadati; Bacteroidota; Flavobacteriia.